GCAAGUCGAGUGCCUCACUUCGGUGAGGAGCGGCGGACGGGUGAGUAACACGUGGGUAACCUGCCCUGGAGCUCGGAAUAACUUCGCGAAAGUGGAGCUAAUGCCGAAUAAGCCCCCAAUACGAAAGUAUAGAGGGAAAAGAUUUAUCACUCCAGGAUGGGCCCGCGUCCCAUCAGCUAGUUGGCGGUGUAAGAGACCACCAAGGCGACGACGGGUAGCUGGUCUGAGAGGACGAUC
RNAcentral lists this ribosomal RNA (237 nucleotides) under uncultured bacterium. Its description in RNAcentral is "partial 16S ribosomal RNA". It matches the Rfam family "Bacterial small subunit ribosomal RNA", at positions 57 to 305 of the family's 1533-position model. The record is from RNAcentral.